Molecule: non-coding RNA, 625 nt
Organism: Equus caballus (horse)
Lineage: Eukaryota; Metazoa; Chordata; Mammalia; Perissodactyla; Equidae
Source: RefSeq, a predicted model, not a curated record
AAGUCAUAAGGGUGGGACCUCAUGAUGGUUUUAGUGCCUUUAUUAGAAGAGACCUCAGAGAGCUUGCUCCCUCUCUGAGUGAGCACAAAGAAGAGAUGAUGUGAGCACACACAGAAGUGGCAGCCACCUACAAGCCAAGAGAAUAGGCCUUAGAGUGAAACCAACCUUGCCAGCACCUUAUCUUGGCCUUCCCAGCCUCCAGAACUUGUGUGUGAUAACACUCUUUUUGGAAAACAUGUCCUGCCGGGAUUGAUGGGAAAACUAAAACUCCCCAUCCUUUGCUGAGCUUUCCUGGAGAUCACUGUCAUUUGAAAACUAACGCAAAACUCUUGGUCAGAUAUUUAGUUUGACCCAACCCCACUAAUAGGUAACAGAUACAGAAGCCCUGUGAAGAGGUACAACGUCUAAGACCACUCAGCCACUCAAGCAAUGCCAAUUCUGGAACACAGCUCUCCAGAUUCUCAGGUGCUCUGAUGUUCACAGUGCCAAAUGAAAAUGGUCAGUUGUUGAUGCUACAUAUUCCCUUCCACUAGAAAACUAUUAUCACUUUAUUAUUAAACAUUUUUCUCUUUCUGCUUGAGGAAAAUCAUAUUUUGGAUGUUAAAUAUAAAGUAAAAAAUUCCAG